This 715-nucleotide ribosomal RNA is filed under the name bacterium 58-L049660-122-017-B08. RNAcentral describes it as "bacterial SSU rRNA". It matches the Rfam family "Bacterial small subunit ribosomal RNA", at positions 60 to 770 of the family's 1533-position model. The record is from RNAcentral.
AGUCGAGCGGUUGAAGGAAGCUUGCUUCCUGAUUCAGCGGCGGACGGGUGAGUAAUGCCUAGGAAUCUGCCUGGUAGUGGGGGACAACGUUUCGAAAGGAACGCUAAUACCGCAUACGUCCUACGGGAGAAAGCAGGGGACCUUCGGGCCUUGCGCUAUCAGAUGAGCCUAGGUCGGAUUAGCUAGUUGGUGAGGUAAUGGCUCACCAAGGCGACGAUCCGUAACUGGUCUGAGAGGAUGAUCAGUCACACUGGAACUGAGACACGGUCCAGACUCCUACGGGAGGCAGCAGUGGGGAAUAUUGGACAAUGGGCGAAAGCCUGAUCCAGCCAUGCCGCGUGUGUGAAGAAGGUCUUCGGAUUGUAAAGCACUUUAAGUUGGGAGGAAGGGCAGUAAGCGAAUACCUUGCUGUUUUGACGUUACCGACAGAAUAAGCACCGGCUAACUCUGUGCCAGCAGCCGCGGUAAUACAGAGGGUGCAAGCGUUAAUCGGAAUUACUGGGCGUAAAGCGCGCGUAGGUGGUUUGUUAAGUUGAAUGUGAAAUCCCCGGGCUCAACCUGGGAACUGCAUCCAAAACUGGCAAGCUAGAGUAGGGCAGAGGGUGGUGGAAUUUCCUGUGUAGCGGUGAAAUGCGUAGAUAUAGGAAGGAACACCAGUGGCGAAGGCGACCACCUGGGCUCAUACUGACACUGAGGUGCGAAAGCGUGGGGAGCA